GAAAUGCGAUACGUAGUGUGAAUUGCAGAAUUCAGUGAAUCAUCGAAUCUUUGAACGCACAUUGCGCCCUUUGGUAUUCCAAAGGGCAUGCCUGUUCGAGCGUCAUUUGUACCCUCAAGCUUUGCUUGGUGUUGGGCGUUUUUUGUCUUUGGUUGCCAAAGACUCGCCUUAAAAGGAUUGGCAGCCGACCUACUGGUUUCGCAGCGCAGCACAUUUUUGCGCUUGCAAUCAGCAAAAGAGGACGGCAAUCCAUCAAGACUCCUUCUCACGUUUGACCUCGGAUCAGGUAGGGAUACCCGCUGAACUUAAGC
RNAcentral lists this unclassified non-coding RNA (311 nucleotides) under plant metagenome. Its description in RNAcentral is "partial contains 5.8S ribosomal RNA, internal transcribed spacer 2, and large subunit ribosomal RNA". The stretch from base 1 to 105 matches the Rfam family "5.8S ribosomal RNA", at positions 50 to 154 of the family's 154-position model. The record is from RNAcentral.